UACGAAGGGGGCUAGCGUUGUUCGGAUUUACUGGGCGUAAAGCGCACGUAGGCGGCUUUGUAAGUUAGAGGUGAAAGCCCGGGGCUCAACUCCGGAAUUGCCUUUAAGACUGCAUCGCUAGAAUUGUGGAGAGGUAAGUGGAAUUCCGAGUGUAGAGGUGAAAUUCGUAGAUAUUCGGAAGAACACCAGUGGCGAAGGCGACUUACUGGACACAUAUUGACGCUGAGGUGCGAAAGCGUGGGGAGCAAACAGG
RNAcentral lists this ribosomal RNA (253 nucleotides) under uncultured bacterium. Its description in RNAcentral is "partial 16S ribosomal RNA". It matches the Rfam family "Bacterial small subunit ribosomal RNA", at positions 524 to 776 of the family's 1533-position model. The record is from RNAcentral.